GGGCGUAUAGCUCAGUGGUAGAGCUUAUGCUAAGAAUUCAUAAAGCUUUGGGUUCAGUUCCAAGUGUCCCCA
RNAcentral lists this transfer RNA (72 nucleotides) under Dipodomys ordii (Ord's kangaroo rat). It matches the Rfam family "tRNA". From Rfam's summary of the family: Transfer RNA (tRNA) molecules are approximately 80 nucleotides in length. Lineage: Eukaryota; Metazoa; Chordata; Mammalia; Rodentia; Heteromyidae. The record is from Rfam by way of RNAcentral.